RNAcentral lists this small RNA (94 nucleotides) under Pongo abelii (Sumatran orangutan). Lineage: Eukaryota; Metazoa; Chordata; Mammalia; Primates; Hominidae. The record is from RNAcentral.
GAGUCUCACUCUGUCAUCCAGGCUGGAGUGCAGUGGCACGAUCUUGGCUCACUGCAACCUCUGCCUCCUGGGUUCUAGAGAUUAUCAUGCCUCA